CGUGUAGGCGGUCUGCUGAGUCUGAUGUGAAAGCCCGGGGCUCACCCCCGGAAGUGCAUUGGAAACUGACAGACUGGAGUCCCGGAGAGGAGGGUGGAAUUCCUGGUGUAGCGGUGAAAUGCGUAGAUAUCAGGAGGAACACCGGUGGCGAAGGCGGCCCUCUGGACGGUGACUGACGCUGAGACGCGAAAGCGUGGGAGCAAACA
RNAcentral lists this ribosomal RNA (206 nucleotides) under uncultured bacterium. RNAcentral's name for it is "partial 16S ribosomal RNA". It matches the Rfam family "Bacterial small subunit ribosomal RNA", at positions 568 to 774 of the family's 1533-position model. The record is from RNAcentral.